RNAcentral lists this long non-coding RNA (226 nucleotides) under Olea europaea (common olive). RNAcentral describes it as "long non-coding RNA (OEUR_LNC006710)". Lineage: Eukaryota; Viridiplantae; Streptophyta; Magnoliopsida; Lamiales; Oleaceae. The record is from RNAcentral.
CACAGUCAUAUUCUGCAUUGAGUAAUAACUAUAUUUUCCCUUGAUUUCCACGGGAUUGGUUUAUAGAGAUAUACAAAAAUCAUAUAAAGUUAACCAUAGAAUACAUUAGAUGGAAAGAAAUGAUUGAAUCUUAGUGCCCAAUUGGGACCUUGUUAAAGUUAAAACUAUCACAUCAUAAGAAACUACACAAAUUUGAAAAAAUUUCCAUCACUCUUUAUCCUAACUG